UACGUAGGGUGCGAGCGUUGUCCGGAAUUAUUGGGCGUAAAGGGCUCGUAGGCGGUUUGUCGCGUCGGGAGUGAAAAUCCAGGGCUUAACUCUGGACUGGCUUCCGAUACGGGCAGACUAGAGGUAUGCAGGGGAGAACGGAAUUCCUGGUGUAGCGGUGAAAUGCGCAGAUAUCAGGAGGAACACCGGUGGCGAAGGCGGUUCCCUGGGCAUUACCUGACGCUGAGGAGCGAAAGUGUGGGGAGCGAACAGG
RNAcentral lists this ribosomal RNA (253 nucleotides) under uncultured bacterium. RNAcentral describes it as "partial 16S ribosomal RNA". It matches the Rfam family "Bacterial small subunit ribosomal RNA", at positions 524 to 776 of the family's 1533-position model. The record is from RNAcentral.